RNAcentral lists this long non-coding RNA (325 nucleotides) under Macaca mulatta (Rhesus monkey). RNAcentral describes it as "lncRNA (ENSMMUG00000053785.1)". The record is from RNAcentral. Lineage: Eukaryota; Metazoa; Chordata; Mammalia; Primates; Cercopithecidae.
GGGCAGGCCAGUUGCCUAGCACUGAGAUGGAAUAAACAUCACCCAGCUUCCUUUUCCCUCCCUCUUGAGAAGGAACGGUGAUGUCUUGAGAGUCAGAAAGAAAACAGUGACCGAAUAGACAUGAUUUAUUGAAAAAUAAGCAGGGUUCUUCUGGGAGGUCUGUCAGGCAUCUCAUCUUGACAUUCCUUCCCCAUGACUUUGAUUCCACCUUGAUUCCUGGUACUGCCACUACACUAGAGAGUCACUGAAAGGUACAAGCUGAGUCAUUUCUCUCCCAUGUCACUGUUGGAAGAAACAAAGAUAAUUUGUAUGGAAAGUAAUGUGC